AGUCACUGACAUUAGAUACCCGUGUAGUCCAGGGUGUAAACGCUGCAGACUUGGUGUUGGGGGCCCUUUGGGGGCAUUCAGUGCCGGAGAGAAGUUGUUAAGUCUGCUACUUGGGAGUACGUCCGCAAGGAUGAAACUUAAAGGAAUUGGCGGGGAGCACCGCAACGGGAGGAGCGUGCGGUUUAAUUGGAUUCAACACCGUAAAACUCACCAGGGAAGACUGUUACAUGAAGGCCGAGAUGAAGACUCUGCUAGAUUUUCAG
This 263-nucleotide ribosomal RNA is filed under the name uncultured archaeon. RNAcentral's name for it is "partial 16S ribosomal RNA". It matches the Rfam family "Archaeal small subunit ribosomal RNA", at positions 717 to 982 of the family's 1478-position model. The record is from RNAcentral.